UACGUAGGGUGCAAGCGUUGUCCGGAAUUAUUGGGCGUAAAGAGCUUGUAGGCGGUUUGUCGCGUCUGCUGUGAAAUUUCGGGGCUCAACCCCGAACUUGCAGUGGGUACGGGCAGACUAGAGUGUGGUAGGGGAGACUGGAAUUCCUGGUGUAGCGGUGAAAUGCGCAGAUAUCUGGAGGAACACCGAUGGCGAAGGCAGGUCUCUGGGCCACUACUGACGCUGAGAAGCGAAAGCAUGGGGAGCGAACAGG
RNAcentral lists this ribosomal RNA (253 nucleotides) under uncultured bacterium. RNAcentral describes it as "partial 16S ribosomal RNA". It matches the Rfam family "Bacterial small subunit ribosomal RNA", at positions 524 to 776 of the family's 1533-position model. The record is from RNAcentral.